RNAcentral lists this long non-coding RNA (507 nucleotides) under Numida meleagris (helmeted guineafowl). RNAcentral's name for it is "lncRNA (ENSNMEG00000022271.1)". Lineage: Eukaryota; Metazoa; Chordata; Aves; Galliformes; Numididae. The record is from RNAcentral.
GUGCAAAUCUCAUCACCACAGGCUGCCAAACGUGUGGGCUGGCUUUGCUGGUGUUGGCUUCUCUGAUUUGGAAGCAUCCCCACGUGGAAGAUAGCACUGUGGGCCUUGUUGAUCGGAUACACCAAACACACUGUGUGCAACACAUAAAAGACAAUUGUAUAUGACUCAUAGAAAUGUCUACGGCAACUCCUGCCUGGAAAUGCGCUUUGGCUUACGCAUCCCUCUUGAUGCAGAGUUCCCCAGCAGCCUUGCAGAACAGUUUGACAGUGAUUACUUUGGUAACACCACUUCCCACGGCCCAAGCAGCUUUGGGCAGCUUGUCUUAGUGUUACCUUUGUGCUCAGUGCUCUUAACAAUUACAGUGUACGUCCCUAACAAUCCCACUUCAGAACAACUUUCCUUCUCUCCUGCUGGAGUGAUUGAAAGGGUGAAGUGAAUAGAAUAGAACAAGGAUUUAUGUUUCUGAAGUUUGUUCAAAAUAAAGUCCUGAAGACAAACUAAAGUGCA